UCCUUAAAUAGGGACUUGCAUGAAUGGCUUGACGAGGGUUUAACUGUCUCUUAUUCUCAAUCAGUGAAAUUGACCUUCCCGUGAAGAGGCGGGAAUAAACUAAUAAGACGAGAAGACCCUAUGGAGCUUAAAUUUUAUAGUCUAGCAUAAAAAUAAUUAUACCCAUGGGACUACAAACUUAUUGCCUACAGACUACAAAUUUUGGUUGGGGUGACCUCGGAGCACAAAACAACCUCCGAAUGAUUCUAAUCUAGACUACACCCGUCUAAAUUAAUAUUCAUAAAUUGACCCAAAAUCUUGAUCAACGGAACAAGUUACCCUAGGGAUAACAGCGCAAUCCUACUCAAGAGUUCAUAUCGACAGUUAGGGUUUACGACCUCGAUGUUGGAUCAGGACAUCCAAAUGGU
Molecule: ribosomal RNA, 407 nt
Filed under: Tamias dorsalis (cliff chipmunk)
Lineage: Eukaryota; Metazoa; Chordata; Mammalia; Rodentia; Sciuridae
Description: partial 16S ribosomal RNA
Rfam family: Bacterial large subunit ribosomal RNA
Source: RNAcentral